This 279-nucleotide ribosomal RNA is filed under the name uncultured bacterium. RNAcentral's name for it is "partial 16S ribosomal RNA". It matches the Rfam family "Bacterial small subunit ribosomal RNA", at positions 506 to 784 of the family's 1533-position model. The record is from RNAcentral.
UGCCAGCCGCCGCGGUAAUACGGAGGGUGCAAGCGUUGUUCGGAAUUACUGGGCGUAAAGCGCAUGUAGGCGGCUAGUUAAGUCGGAUGUGAAAGCCUGGGGCUCAACCCCAGAAGUGCAUCCGAAACUAUCUAGCUUGAAUAUGGAAGAGGGUAGUGGAAUUCCUGGUGUAGUGGUGAAAUACGUAGAUAUCAGGAGGAACAUCGGUGGCGAAGGCGGCUGCCUGGUCCGGAUCUGACGCUGAGGCGCGAAAGCGUGGGGAGCAAACAGGAUUAGAUA